AUAGUACUCCCUCCGUUCGGAAAUUCUUGUUUUAGAAAUGGUUGUAUCUAGAACUAAAACAAGUCUAGAUACAAUCAUUUUUAAGACAAUUCUCGUCUUAAAAAUGGUUGUAUCUAAAACUAAAACAAGUCUAGAUACAACCAUUUUUAAGACAAGUAUUUCCGAACAGAGGGAGUAUCUU
Molecule: non-coding RNA, 181 nt
Organism: Triticum urartu
Lineage: Eukaryota; Viridiplantae; Streptophyta; Magnoliopsida; Poales; Poaceae
Source: Rfam